RNAcentral lists this ribosomal RNA (234 nucleotides) under Klebsiella pneumoniae. RNAcentral describes it as "partial 23S ribosomal RNA". It matches the Rfam family "Bacterial large subunit ribosomal RNA", at positions 1148 to 1381 of the family's 2925-position model. The record is from RNAcentral. RNAcentral also lists the same sequence under 3 other names. Lineage: Bacteria; Pseudomonadati; Pseudomonadota; Gammaproteobacteria; Enterobacterales; Enterobacteriaceae.
GUCGAGUCGGCCUGCGCGGAAGAUGUAACGGGGCUAAACCAUGCACCGAAGCUGCGGCAGCGACACUAUGUGUUGUUGGGUAGGGGAGCGUUCUGUAAGCCUGCGAAGGUGACCUGUGAGGGUUGCUGGAGGUAUCAGAAGUGCGAAUGCUGACAUAAGUAACGAUAAAGCGGGUGAAAAGCCCGCUCGCCGGAAGACCAAGGGUUCCUGUCCAACGUUAAUCGGGGCAGGGUG